RNAcentral lists this ribosomal RNA (497 nucleotides) under uncultured bacterium. Its description in RNAcentral is "bacterial SSU rRNA". It matches the Rfam family "Bacterial small subunit ribosomal RNA", at positions 903 to 1397 of the family's 1533-position model. The record is from RNAcentral.
AAAUGAAUAGACGGGGACCCGCACAAGCAGCGGAGCAUGUGGUUUAAUUCGAAGCAACGCGAAGAACCUUACCUGGAUUUGACAUCCCUCUGACCGUCUCCUAAUCGAGACCUUUCCUUCGGGGACAGAGGAGACAGGUGGUGCAUGGUUGUCGUCAGCUCGUGUCGUGAGAUGUUGGGUUAAGUCCCGCAACGAGCGCAACCCCUAUUUUUAGUUGCCAUCAGGUAAAGCUGGGCACUCUAAAGAGACUGCCAAGGUAAACUUGGAGGAAGGUGGGGAUGACGUCAAAUCAUCAUGCCCCUUAUGUCCAGGGCUACACACGUGCUACAAUGGCCGAUACAACGGGCAGCUAAGGAGCAAUCCGGAGCAAAUCCUAAAAAAUCGGUCCCAGUUCGGAUUGUGGGCUGCAAUUCGCCCAUAUGAAGUCGGAGUUGCUAGUAAUCGUGAAUCAGAAUGUCGCGGUGAAUGCGUUCCCGGGUCUUGUACACACCGCCCGU